CCUACGGGAGGCAGCAGUGGGGAAUAUUGGACAAUGGGCGAAAGCCUGAUCCAGCCAUGCCGCGUGUGUGAAGAAGGCCUUCGGGUUGUAAAGCACUUUCAGUGGGGAAGAAAGCCUUGGGGCUAAUACCCUCGAGGAAGGACAUCACCCACAGAAGAAGCACCGGCUAACUCCGUGCCAGCAGCCGCGGUAAUACGGAGGGUGCGAGCGUUAAUCGGAAUUACUGGGCGUAAAGCGCGCGUAGGCGGUCUGAUAAGCCGGUUGUGAAAGCCCCGGGCUCAACCUGGGAACGGCAUCCGGAACUGUCAGGCUAGAGUGCAGGAGAGGAAGGUAGAAUUCCCGGUGUAGCGGUGAAAUGCGUAGAGAUCGGGAGGAAUACCAGUGGCGAAGGCGGCCUUCUGGACUGACACUGACGCUGAGGUGCGAAAGCGUGGGUAGCAAACAGGAUUAGCUACCCCGGUAGUC
Molecule: ribosomal RNA, 465 nt
Filed under: Vreelandella stevensii
Lineage: Bacteria; Pseudomonadati; Pseudomonadota; Gammaproteobacteria; Oceanospirillales; Halomonadaceae
Description: partial 16S ribosomal RNA
Rfam family: Bacterial small subunit ribosomal RNA
Source: RNAcentral